ACUCAAAUGAAUUGACGGGGGCCUGCACAAGCGGUGGAGUAUGUGGCUCAAUUCGAUGCAACGCGAAGAACCUUACCUGGCCUUGACAUGCAAGUGGUAGAAGCCUGAAAGGGUAACGACCCCGCAAGGGGAGCUUGCACAGGUGCUGCAUGGCUGUCGUCAGCUCGUGUCGUGAGAUGUUGGGUUAAGUCCCGCAACGAGCGCAACCCUUGCGUCCUGUUGCCAAAUCCGAUGAGAAUCGGGUAGCACUCUGGACGGACUGCCUCGCUACAACGGGGAGGAAGGUGGGGAUGACGUCAAGUCAGUAUGGCCCUUACGGCCAGGGCUGCACACGUACUACAAUGCCUGGUACAAAGGGAAGCAAGACCGUGAGGUGGAGCAAAUCCCCUAAAACCAGGCCCAGUUCAGAUUGAAGGCUGCAACUCGCCUUCAUGAAGUUGGAAUCGCUAGUAAUGGCGCAUCAGCUACGGCGCCGUGAAUACGUUCCCAGGCCUUGUACACACCGCCCGU
This 510-nucleotide ribosomal RNA is filed under the name uncultured bacterium. RNAcentral describes it as "partial 16S ribosomal RNA". It matches the Rfam family "Bacterial small subunit ribosomal RNA", at positions 899 to 1397 of the family's 1533-position model. The record is from RNAcentral.